Olea europaea var. sylvestris is the source of this 894-nucleotide long non-coding RNA. RefSeq lists it as uncharacterized. The transcript is spliced from 3 exons. The record is from RefSeq and is a predicted model, not a curated record. Lineage: Eukaryota; Viridiplantae; Streptophyta; Magnoliopsida; Lamiales; Oleaceae.
AUGCAUGCUUACGCACCCAUAUAUCUCGAAUGAGCAAUUUCAAGUACCUAAAAAUCAUAUUGGAGAAUUUUGAUGAUGGAAAGCUGGAAGAUUUCGGCAACUCAUGCCUUGAGUUCCUUGCUAAGGUGGAAAUUGAUCAUUUUUAGCUGGAAAAGCCUAAUGAUUUCUGAAUAAGAACCACACGAUAUGUUGAGUGUUAUAAUUCAUAUUGAUGAAGCACAAAAUUGUCAAUCUAGUCAGCAUCUAUCAUUGGCGUACGUCACGUUUCAGGUCCACUAGGGUGAUUCGGGACGGGUCGUGUCAAGAUCCAUUCAAACUGAUAAGGCAAAUUCAAUGUAUGUGGGCACCUGAAAAGGUUCUUAUCGUGUACUCUUACGAUCGUGACGGGAUUAAAAUGUGGUCUCGUCCAGGAAGGUGAUGAAUUUAUUAUGGUCCUGGAAAAAUGAGACUCAAGGACAAAUACUUCAAAUUCAUGGAGAAAAUUUCAUGUGUCCAAUUGGAAAAGGCUUUUCUCCGACCAUUGACGUCCCGAGUUGAUCGAUACAAGCUAUACCUUGCUUUAAUUGUCGAAGGAGUAUCCGAUGAUCUGGAUAAUAAUGUGGGUAUUGAUAUCGAUAUAUUGUCAAUCGUUGACAACCUAAACAUAUUUUUUUAUUACCCUUGGGGUAAAGUAGGUACAAUCAUCUGUUAAGGGGAUUCAGGGGUAGUUGAACAUGGAAAUUUCGUAAGGCUAAAGCAAAGAAGGAGAAGGAAAUCCGUUAUAUGAUUCAUGGAUUUUCCAUUGCCAUGCAAAUAUGAAUAAUUAUUUUCAAAAAUGUAUUCAUUAUUAUUUCAAUAAAAAUAUAUUGUCACGUGUAUGGAAACUUUUGUAACAAUGGUAUUUUUUUUUACAAA